Molecule: ribosomal RNA, 301 nt
Filed under: uncultured bacterium
Lineage: Bacteria
Description: partial 16S ribosomal RNA
Rfam family: Bacterial small subunit ribosomal RNA
Source: RNAcentral
CAGCAGCCGCGGUAAUACAGAGGUCCCGAGCGUUGUUCGGAUUCACUGGGCGUAAAGGGUGUGUAGGAGGUUGGAUAAGUCAGGUGUGAAAUCCCACAGCUUAACUGUGGAACUGCAUUCGAUACUGUCUGACUAGAGGAUCGGAGGGGGAAGCGGAAUUCUUGGUGUAGCGGUGAAAUGCGUAGAUAUCAAGAGGAACACCGGUGGCGAAGGCGGCUUCCUGGACGAUUCCUGACUCUGAAACACGAAAGCCAGGGGAGCGAAUGGGAUUAGAUACCCCCGUAGUCCCUGUCUCUUAUAC